Molecule: ribosomal RNA, 484 nt
Filed under: uncultured bacterium
Lineage: Bacteria
Description: partial 16S ribosomal RNA
Rfam family: Bacterial small subunit ribosomal RNA
Source: RNAcentral
AUUGAACGCUGGCGGCAGGCCUAACACAUGCAAGUCGAGCGGAUGAAGGGAGCUUGCUCCUGGAUUCAGCGGCGGACGGGUGAGUAAUGCCCAGGAAUCUGCCUGGUAGUGGGGGAUAACGUCCGGAAACGGGCGCUAAUACCGCAUACGUCCUGAGGGAGAAAGUGGGGGAUCUUCGGACCUCACGCUAUCAGAUGAGCCUAGGUCGGAUUAGCUAGUUGGUGGGGUAAAGGCCUACCAAGGCGACGAUCCGUAACUGGUCUGAGAGGAUGAUCAGUCACACUGGAACUGAGACACGGUCCAGACUCCUACGGGAGGCAGCAGUGGGGAAUAUCGGACAAUGGGCGAAAGCCUGAUCCAGCCAUGCCGCGUGUGUGAAGAAGGUCUUCGGAUUGUAAAGCACUUUAAGUUGGGAGGAAGGGCAGUAAGUUAAUACCUUGCUGUUUUGACGUUACCAACAGAAUAAGCACCGGCUAACUUCGUG